GUCUAUAUCCACACCACUUUGAAUGUGCCUGAUCGCGUGUAAUCUUGGAAGCUAAGCAGGGCUGGCCUGAUUGGUACUUGAAUGGGAGAAAAGCAACUAUCUCCUGAGACACUUGAAGCACAAUCUGGGUC
RNAcentral lists this ribosomal RNA (131 nucleotides) under Spermophilus dauricus (Daurian ground squirrel). The record is from RNAcentral. Lineage: Eukaryota; Metazoa; Chordata; Mammalia; Rodentia; Sciuridae.